Long non-coding RNA from Oncorhynchus keta (chum salmon), 778 nucleotides. RefSeq lists it as uncharacterized. The record is from RefSeq and is a predicted model, not a curated record. The transcript is spliced from 4 exons. NCBI's taxonomy places the organism in Eukaryota, Metazoa, Chordata, Actinopteri, Salmoniformes, Salmonidae.
GUUUUAAUAAGGUUAGUAUCACACCUCAUGUAGCCUAGCCCAUAGUCCUAUAUGUUUUAAUAAGGUUAGUAUCACACCUCAUGUAGCCUAGCCCAUAGUCCUAUAUGUUUUAAUAAGGUUAGUAUCACACCUCAUGUAGCCUAGCCCAUAGUCCUAUAUGUUUUAAUAAGGUUAGUAUCACACCUCAUGUAGCCUAGCCCAUGGGCCUAUAUGUUUUAAUAAGGUUAGUAUCACACCUCAUGUAGUCUAGCCCAUAGUCCUAUAAGGUUAGUAUCACACCUCAUGUAGUCUAGCCCAUAGUCCUAUAUGUUUUAAUAAGGUUAGUAUCACACCUCAUGUAGCCUAGCCCAUAGUCCUAUAUGUUUUAAUAAGGUUAGUAUCACACCUCAUGUAGUCUAGCCCAUAGUCCUAUAUGUUUUAAUAAGGUUAGUAUCACACCUCAUGUAGCCUAGCCCAUAGGCCUAUAUGUUUUAAUAAGGUUAGUAUCACACCUCAUGUAGUCUAGCCCAUAGUCCUAUAUGUUUUAAUAAGGUUAGUAUCACACCUCAUGUAGCCUAGCCCAUAGUCCUAUAUGUUUUAAUAAGGUUAGUAUCACACCUCAUGUAGUCUAGCCCAUAGUCCUAUAUGUUUUAAUAAGGUUAGUAUCACACCUCAUGUAGUCUAGCCCAUAGUCCUAUAUGUUUUAAUAAGGUUAGUAUCACACCUCAUGUAGUCUAGCCCAUAGUCCUAUAUGUUUUAAUAAGGUUAGUAUCACACCUCAUGUAGCCUAGCCCAUAGU